GGCGCGGUGGUGAAACUGGCGAAACACGUCAGACUCAAAAUCUGAUACAUAAGAAACAUUGCGGGUUCGAAUCCCGCCCGCGCUA
RNAcentral lists this transfer RNA (85 nucleotides) under Chloroflexota bacterium. Its description in RNAcentral is "Chloroflexi bacterium (freshwater metagenome) tRNA-Leu". It matches the Rfam family "tRNA". From Rfam's summary of the family: Transfer RNA (tRNA) molecules are approximately 80 nucleotides in length. The record is from RNAcentral. Lineage: Bacteria; Bacillati; Chloroflexota.